AUGGUUGAAGAGUCCAAUUAAAUUGUGACUCAGGUGAAGAGUCCUACUUGGACUAGGACUUUAUGGGAGAGUCUCACUGGGACUGAGACUCUAUCAUUUAUGAAGAAUUAAUUAGUAACUAGAUUACUAAUUGACUCAAUUUGAUUAAGUAAAGAGCUUUAGAAUAAGUCUAAUUGAAUUAGAUUUAGUUCGACUCAGAUUGGGAUUGAUAUGAUCAAAUCUGAUUAUAAGAAUUUGAUCUUGAUUCGAUCAGGGUAUGAACUCAGCUAAUUCCUAAUAGAGCUAGAAAUUUGAUAAGAUAUUUAAAUUUCUAAUUGAAU
Molecule: long non-coding RNA, 320 nt
Filed under: Elaeis guineensis (African oil palm)
Lineage: Eukaryota; Viridiplantae; Streptophyta; Magnoliopsida; Arecales; Arecaceae
Description: long non-coding RNA (EGUI_LNC065183)
Source: RNAcentral